This 105-nucleotide small nucleolar RNA is filed under the name Olea europaea subsp. europaea. Its description in RNAcentral is "Plant small nucleolar RNA R71". It matches the Rfam family "Plant small nucleolar RNA R71". From Rfam's summary of the family: R71 is a member of the C/D box family of snoRNAs containing the C (UGAUGA) and D (CUGA) box motifs. Multiple nearly identical copies of this snoRNA have been identified in Arabidopsis, and it is thought to function as a 2'-O-ribose methylation guide for 18S ribosomal RNA. Lineage: Eukaryota; Viridiplantae; Streptophyta; Magnoliopsida; Lamiales; Oleaceae. The record is from Rfam by way of RNAcentral.
AUGUCAAGGUCAGGGCAUUUCCUGAACAAAUUUUUUAACCUCUUCCAUGCCUCAAAAUAGCUCUUGAAAUCUUCUGCUUGAAAGUGUGGACUUCAUUCCUGAUUU